RNAcentral lists this ribosomal RNA (893 nucleotides) under bioreactor sludge metagenome. RNAcentral describes it as "bacterial SSU rRNA". It matches the Rfam family "Bacterial small subunit ribosomal RNA", at positions 8 to 923 of the family's 1533-position model. The record is from RNAcentral.
AGAGUUUGAUCCUGGCUCAGGACGAACGCUGGCGGCGUGCUUAACACAUGCAAGUCGGACGGUUCGCACUGGAAGGUUCGCUGGAAGGUGCGGAUAGUGGCGGACGGGUGAGUAACGCGUGAGGACAUGGCACCAGGAGGGGGAUAACGUUUGGAAACGGACGCUAAGACCCCGUAAGCCGGGAGGUGAAAGUGGCGGAAGCCAGCCUGGUGAGUGACUCGCGUCCUAUCAGCUAGUUGGGGGGGUGACGGCCCACCAAGGCGAUGACGGGUAGCCGACCUGAGAGGGUGGCCGGCCACACUGGGACUGCGACACGGCCCAGACUCCUACGGGAGGCAGCAGUGGGGAAUAUUGGGCAAUGGGCGCAAGCCUGACCCAGCGACGCCGCGUGGGGGAAGAAGUCUUUCGGGACGUAAACCCAUGUUGUACGGGACGAAGGAAGUGACGGUACCGUACGAGGAAGCCCCGGCAAACUACGUGCCAGCAGCCGCGGUAAUACGUAGGGGGCGAGCGUUGUCCGGAAUCACUGGGCGUAAAGCGCACGUAGGCGGGCUGUUAAGUCGGCCGUGAAAUACACUGGCUCAACCGGUGCAGGUCGGUCGAUACUGGCGGUCUGGAGUAUGGGAGAGGGAACUGGAAUUCCCGGUGUAGCGGUGAAAUGCGUAGAUAUCGGGAGGAACACCAGUGGCGAAGGCGGGUUCCUGGCCCAUGACUGACGCUGAGGUGCGAAAGCCGGGGGAGCGAACGGGAUUAGAUACCCCGGUAGUCCCGGCUGUAAACGAUGGAUGCUAGGUGUGGGGAGGUUCCUCUCUGUGCCGCAGCUAACGCGAUAAGCAUCCCGCCUGGGGAGUACGAUCGCAAGAUUGAAACUCAAAGGAAUUGACGGGGGCCCG